RNAcentral lists this ribosomal RNA (492 nucleotides) under uncultured bacterium. RNAcentral's name for it is "partial 16S ribosomal RNA". It matches the Rfam family "Bacterial small subunit ribosomal RNA", at positions 29 to 507 of the family's 1533-position model. The record is from RNAcentral.
AGUGAACGCUGGCGGUAGGCCUAACGCAUGCAAGUCGAACGGCAGCACAGUAAGAGCUUGCUCUUACGGGUGGCGAGUGGCGGACGGGUGAGGAAUACAUCGGAAUCUACUUUUUCGUGGGGGAUAACGUAGGGAAACUUACGCUAAUACCGCAUACGACCUACGGGUGAAAGCAGGGGAUCUUCGGACCUUGUGCGAUUGAAUGAGCCGAUGUCGGAUUAGCUAGUUGGCGGGGUAAAGGCCCACCAAGGCGACGAUCCGUAGCUGGUCUGAGAGGAUGAUCAGCCACACUGGAACUGAGACACGGUCCAGACUCCUACGGGAGGCAGCAGUGGGGAAUAUUGGACAAUGGGCGCAAGCCUGAUCCAGCCAUACCGCGUGGGUGAAGAAGGCCUUCGGGUUGUAAAGCCCUUUUGUUGGGAAAGAAAAGCAGCAGGUUAAUACCCCGCUGUUCUGACGGUACCCAAAGAAUAAGCACCGGCUAACUUCGUG